RNAcentral lists this ribosomal RNA (194 nucleotides) under uncultured bacterium. RNAcentral describes it as "partial 16S ribosomal RNA". It matches the Rfam family "Bacterial small subunit ribosomal RNA", at positions 328 to 539 of the family's 1533-position model. The record is from RNAcentral.
ACGCUCGACACCUACGGGAGCAGCAGUGGGGAAUAUUGCACAAUGGGGGAAACCCUGAUGCAGCGACGCCGCGUGGAGGAAGAAGGUCUUCGGAUUGUAAACUCCCGUUGUUGGGGAAAAGAGGAUGGUACCAACAAGGAAGUGACGGCUAACUACGUGCCGCAGCCGCGGUAAUCUGAGCGGGCUGGCAAGGC